GAGGGAGAGGAGCCGUGCAGAGGAAGAAGAGAGAAAUGGGGAAGAAGAAGCGGCUAGUGGUUAUAAAACCUAGGGUCCGACGGAUACUAUCCGUCAGAAUUCCGUCGGAAUUCUAAUUUCAAUUUUCGCGAAAUAUUUGCCCGGUUAAAAGAACAUAUUCCGAGGAAAUUCCGACGGAUACUUAAAUAUCCCUCGGAAUUCCGUCGAAAUAUUCCGAGGAAAUACCGAGGAACUAGUG
Molecule: long non-coding RNA, 238 nt
Filed under: Brassica napus (rape)
Lineage: Eukaryota; Viridiplantae; Streptophyta; Magnoliopsida; Brassicales; Brassicaceae
Description: long non-coding RNA (BNAP_LNC022964)
Source: RNAcentral